Acanthosepion pharaonis is the source of this 113-nucleotide non-coding RNA. NCBI's taxonomy places the organism in Eukaryota, Metazoa, Mollusca, Cephalopoda, Sepiida, Sepiidae. The record is from the annotation of a GenBank genome assembly.
UACGGCCACAUCACGCUGGAACACCGGUCCCCAUACGAACAUACAGGUUAAGCAACGUCGAUCCUGGUUAGUACCUAGAUAGAUGACCGCUUUGGAAUACCAAGUACUGUAAG